AAAGUCGGCUAAGGCUAGCGAGACGAGUCUCACAUCACUAGGUCGUUGUGAGCAUACUUGAGCCUAACAAGGACAUUAAGGCUUAAAGAGAGGAGAAUGUGACACUUUAGGAUUUGGAAUAGUCCUAUAUAUAAAGUAGGGAUAAUUGCCAUAUACCCCUCAUACGUUUGAAAAUAUCCGAUUUACCCCUACUUUUUUUUCUUUCUAAAAUACCCCUUAUAUGUUCCACCGUUAUUGCAAAAUACCCCCGCAAUUAUCUCUUGUUAAGUUAACCUGGGUUAAACAUGAGUUAAAUAUCUACCACAGUUAAAAAAAAUUAAAAUAUCAAUUCUGUCCUUAACUGAAGGGCAAAUAAGUAAAGUUGGUGACGGUAGAGGGGUCUAUUGGAAAAGACCAAAAGUCAAAAUACUUUCUGUGCCCCUGACUUUAAGGGCAAAUAAGAAAGACAGUGAUGGUGGAAGAGUAUAUUUGAAAGAGCAAAAUAGUAAUUUUACAGAGAUAACAGAGUUACUUAACAGAUUUUAACUCUAAGGGUAUAUUAGAAAUAGGUUGGAACGUAGAAGGGGUAUUUUCAAUAUUAGCCUUCUAAGAGGGGUAAAUCGGAAAGUCGAGAACUUUUCAGGGGUAUAUAAGCAAUUGCCCCUAUAAAGUAUAAUAGGACUAAAUCUCUUAAUCUGACUAUAACAUUUUGGACGGUGACUAGGCCUAAAAGGUUAAAGAGGAUUAAGCGUACUAGGGUUGGAGUAGAUGUAGGAUGGGUGACUCCUUAGGAGUAGACCUGGCAAUCUCGACCCACACCCGCGGGUGCCCGCGGGUUACCCCCAAAUUUGCAGGUAUGAGUACCAACUUUUCCAAUCCAAAAAAUUACGGGUAAAACGAGUAGGUACCAAUUAAGUUGUGGGCAUUUUGGAUAACCCGCGGGUACCCACGGAUACCCACACAUAUAUUUUUUAAUUACAAAAUAUAUGUUCUUAAUUAAAAUAUAUUUAUUUUUAUUUACUUAUCCUAAAUAUUCUAAUCCUAAUUUCUUAUCGCGUUACCUUUUUAUGAAAUUUUUUUGCUUUAAGACUUUAAAUAUUUUUAUUGUAUAUUAUGUUAUUUUAAAUAAUGAGUUAUGUUAUGCUUUUAAAACUUAUAUAUAUGUGUUUUGUAUUUAAAAAUAUAAGAGCAAAAAGGAAAAAAAAAAAUU
RNAcentral lists this long non-coding RNA (1189 nucleotides) under Ananas comosus (pineapple). RNAcentral describes it as "long non-coding RNA (ACOM_LNC032596)". The record is from RNAcentral. Lineage: Eukaryota; Viridiplantae; Streptophyta; Magnoliopsida; Poales; Bromeliaceae.